Molecule: ribosomal RNA, 677 nt
Filed under: Vermiculariopsis microsperma
Lineage: Eukaryota; Fungi; Ascomycota; Sordariomycetes; Vermiculariopsiellales; Vermiculariopsiellaceae
Description: eukaryotic LSU rRNA
Rfam family: 5.8S ribosomal RNA (bases 329-482)
Source: RNAcentral
UGUACACACCGCCCGUCGCUACUACCGAUUGAAUGGCUCAGUGAGGCUUUCGGACUGGCCCAGAGAGGUCGGCAACGACCACUCAGGGCCGGAAAGUUAUCCAAACUCGGUCAUUUAGAGGAAGUAAAAGUCGUAACAAGGUCUCCGUUGGUGAACCAGCGGAGGGAUCAUUACAGAGUUACAAUACUCCUAAACCCCUGUUUACUUUACCUAUACGUUGCUUCGGCAGGCGGCCCCAGGGAGGGGCCGUUUAGGUGCCUGCCGAAGGUAUACCAAACUCUUGUUUUAUAAACCUAAAGCUUCUGAGUUAUACUUUUAAAUAAGUCAAAACUUUCAACAACGGAUCUCUUGGUUCUGGCAUCGAUGAAGAACGCAGCGAAAUGCGAUAAGUAAUGUGAAUUGCAGAAUUCAGUGAAUCAUCGAAUCUUUGAACGCACAUUGCGCCCGCCAGUAUUCUGGCGGGCAUGCCUGUUCGAGCGUCAUUUCAACCCUCAAGCCCUGCUUGGUGUUGGGGCCCUACGCACCGCCGUAGGCCCUUAAAGGUAGUGGCGGGCUCGCUAAAAUCCUGAGCGCAGUAGCACAUCUCGCUUGUGGUAUUUAGUGGGUGCCGGCCGUUAAACCCCCAACUUUUAUUAGUUUGACCUCGGAUCAGGUAGGAAUACCCGCUGAACUUAAGC